Molecule: ribosomal RNA, 460 nt
Filed under: uncultured bacterium
Lineage: Bacteria
Description: partial 16S ribosomal RNA
Rfam family: Bacterial small subunit ribosomal RNA
Source: RNAcentral
CCUACGGGAGGCAGCAGUGAGGAAUAUUGGUCAAUGGACGAGAGUCUGACCCAGCCAAGUAGCGUGAAGGAUGACUGCCCUCUGGGUUGUAAACUUCUUUUAUAUGGGAAUAAAAUGUUCCACGUGUGGGAUUUUGUAUGUACCAUAUGAAUUAGGAUCGGCUAACCCCGUGCCAGCAGCCGCGGUAAUACGGAGGUUCCGAGCGUUAUCCGGAUUUAUUGGGUUUAAAGGGAGCGUAGGUGGAUUGUUAAGUCAGUUGUGAAAGUUCGCGGCUCAACCGUAAAAUUGCAGUGGAAACUGGCAGUCUUGAGUACAGUAGAGGUGAGCGGAAUUCGAGGUGUAGCGGUGAAAUGCUUAGAGAUCACGAAGAACACCGAUUGCGAAGGCAGUUCACUGGACUGCAACUGACACUGAGGCUCGAAAGUGUGGGUAUCAAACAGGAUUAGAUACCCCUGUAGUC